RNAcentral lists this unclassified non-coding RNA (1383 nucleotides) under Leishmania donovani. RNAcentral describes it as "gene:LdHU3.03.0130(CDS-product:hypothetical_prote in_conserved)". Lineage: Eukaryota; Euglenozoa; Kinetoplastea; Trypanosomatida; Trypanosomatidae. The record is from RNAcentral.
CCACCCUAACCGUUUGCGAGCUCGACAGCAGUGCUCCCCUGCGCUGCCACCCAUCCCUCAACCCCAACGAGGUUUUAUUCAAGCACAUGCCUUACUACCCCUCCGGAGAGAGCCGUGAGUCGUACAUCACGGGCAUCCGCCCUGGUGGCCGGUACGGCGCUGUGCACGACGUGGAGAAGCGCCGCGACAACCUGCCGGACAACGUCUUCCACUACAUCAAGGAGGCCGUGCAGCGUGAGGAGCGCCUGCGCUGUAACGAGGAAGAGGAGCGUGCCCGCAUUCGCUUAAAGAUGUUUGCCAAGAAGCCCGGCCAGCAUCGCGGCAGUGGCGCCACGCUUGCAGCCGGGGGCAGCGGUGCUGCUGAGCAGUCCGUAGCAAUUUCACAGCUGGAGUGUGAGACUCUGACUCGCGAGCGGCGUACCGCCUUGCAGGAACUCUACCAGCGCGAGCGCAAGGAGUGGGAGAUACAACUCGGCGCACGCGGGCUCGCCACUCAUCGCACUUAAUGGAAGCGGCAGCAUGCGGUGCGGUGUCAUCACCCACUCUCCGUCCGUCCGUCCGUCCGUUGUAGGUGUGUGUAUUAUCAGACCUCCAUCGUCCGCUCGGUCGUGCUACGCACAGUCGACUGGGACUGGCCAACACGUCGUCGUGCGCAAUGGUGCUCUCCUGCUGCUGCGUCCCCCCCCCCAGCAUGCACAGUCAGUCUCUCCAUGCCCUUCUGCCUCUCUCGAGCCCUGUGGCCGUGGGCACGACCCGCCGUGAUUUUUCUGUGUGCACGCACGCCCGCGCGUGCUGCCGACAGAUGGAAGGGAGGGGAGCUGAGAGGGCGCGAAAGGGAGGAGCGGCUGGAGGGGAGGGGUGACGUGAACGAGGCAGCAAUGGUGCGCCCCCGUUUCCCGCCGCCGGCGCCUUCCUUACCGACUGCUUUUCCUCCGCAUGCUCGCUUGCGCGGCAAUGCUUGCCAAGUGCGGGCUGCGCCACCGUCCUCGCCCUCCCUCCCUCCCUCCCACCUUCCCUGCUGCCCACCAUGUAGAUUAGUUCUUUGUGAGGCGGCCGCUGCGACGAAGGUGGGGGAGGAACGGAGCGCUUCACUUGCAUGUGCUUUAGCACAUUCUCGCCAUCGAGCGCACGCAUAAAAGAAGGACCAGCUGUCAACGGCGCUGCUCAUCUCCGGCAGCCAUCACCACAGAAUGACGUGCAGCUGGGACGAUCAUGGAUCUCUGUGCAUGGCUGCGAGCCGUAGUGCAUGGAUAGAGGCACGCUUGCUGGUCUCUCUGCUUCACCCCCUCCCCAUCAGCUCGUUGAAGUGCCGCCCCUCUCGUGGCGGGAAUGUGUGGGUGUACACGACCUCGAGGAGCUUGCUAGGACGCGUACAGUUGAAGG